UUCAUACACAGUGUUUCAGCCUCAGAGAAAAGAAAGUCUUUCACAGCACAACACACACAUUCCAAAUCCAGCCCAACAAAUGCAGAUAUAUUGAAGUGCAGAGCAACACAGUUAAUUGGCACUGCGAGAAGGAUUAGGGUUGUAUUUUGUACCAGCACCUCCUUCAAGAAAAAUGAAGCAAGCUAUAUUAUGGAGAGGAACGUCAUCCUUUCAACAAUUAUUGAAGCUAGCUUCUCAUGACAAGCGCAAAUCUGACAUCCCACCAGAUGCCAAUUUAUACAAAAUCAAACCAACCCACCUGAAAUUUCACAUCCUAGUUCAGGUGUCCUUCUCUACAACAACCCACUAAGACCUCCUCAAACUUUUGCCUUCUCCUACACCACAAUCUCAGUUUGGAUCAAAGCCUUGUAGAACUGAGAAAUCAGUCCCCCUGCUGGAGCCAGCCAGAUCAGAAUAUUUUCUCUAGAGGGGACAGUGUUAAAUUUGGUGCUAGUGUUGCAGAUUUGGGUGCUUAGAAAGAUGGAGAUCAGCACACAAACACACACACACAAAGUUGGAUCUCAGGAGACGUUGAGGGGACUAAAGCUCUUCAAAAUGAGCGAAGUCACCAAGCACUAAAAACAGCUACUGAGCACCUAAUCGCCUUACAAAAUUGGAUCCGCUGAAUUGGGUUAUUAUUGAUGGGACAGGUAUUCACUUAUCAGCCUACACAGGACUUUCUUUCUCCACUACUGGACUAGCUAGAGUAAAAGUUUCAAGAGUGCCUAAGUGGCUUUGGUGCUUUUGAAAAAAGAGAGACUUAAGCUGAUUUCAUUUACAUGGUACUGAAAAUUUUAUCCCACAUGUCUAAGAGUGUGUUGGGAGUCACUCAGAAACACAAGUUUCAAAGAGAUUCUGAGAGGUAAACUUCCCACUCCAGCAGGUGGGAAACGGCUUGAGUUCUCCCAGCCAAACCCUCACAAAGCCAAGCCUGCAGGGUAUAUCAUGCUCUUAUUCAGGGGAAAGCCAAUCCUACUCCUGAUUUAUAAAAGAUCACUCACUUGCAAACAUGGCUUUCCUCCUGAGAAGGCAACCUUUCUGCAUCUCUUUCCUCGCUAUUUAAAUAUAAACAUUAUAAAGCACAAGCAAUUUCUCUCUCUUUCUUCUCUCACUCCCCACCUAAUCUCUUUUGAAACGGACAUUUUUUGAGAGCAAUGGCUAAAGAGAGAUGCUUAAAAUAGAUCACAGAAUAUCAGGGUGGGGAGAGACCUCAGGAGAUCAUCUAGUCCAACCCCCUGCUCAAAGCAGGAUCAAUCCCCAGACAGAUU
Molecule: long non-coding RNA, 1307 nt
Organism: Trachemys scripta elegans
Lineage: Eukaryota; Metazoa; Chordata; Testudines; Emydidae
Exons: 3
Source: RefSeq, a predicted model, not a curated record